AAAUUAAAUCACAACUCAGAAAUCACAACUGAAGGUAAUCAAUUCAUAUUACAAAUAUAUUCAUGGCUUUGAAUUAACCUCUAGCCAAAAUAAAUUUAGUUACACAUUAUUAAAACAGAAAUAAAAUAUAAGUUUGGAAAGAUUUAACCGAAAGAGGAGAGUGCUUCAGUGCUCUGUCUGCCCAGCGCCCUCUGUUUUCUGUGCGCACUGCUAAUCUCCCCCGAGGCUCACGCCUCCUCUGAUUGGAUACACGCUGCAAGGCAACUUUUGAAUUCCUCUCCUUUCUUUCGCUGCCUAAGGCAGCUUGGUGCCUUUUGCUUUUCUCUGUGCCAAGGCUUCACGCUGCGCAAGGCAGCACUUCUUCUCCUCGUCCUUUCUCUUCUUCUUCUUUCCUUUUUUUAUUCCUUUUUCGCUGGCAGCUUUGCUGCUUCUUUUCCGUCCAUUAGCUUCUUCUUUCUUUCCUCCACCAUUCCUUUCUUUAUGUUUCUUUUCUUUUUUUUCAUCAUUCCAUGUCUCCCACUUAUUUAUUUUCUUAUUCUUCUUUCUCCGCACAGUCCGCAAGUCUCUCCCCUUCCUCUUUUAUUAUUCAAUUUCUUGAUAGUCCACUCCCUUCCUUUGUUUAAUGCCGUGUUGCACUCUGUCUCUUCUCUAUUCUUUUCUGCGUUUGAAAUUAAUCCUACAACAAAAUUAACAGUACAUUAACACAAAGUAAGGUAAAAUGUCACAAUUUUAACACAAAAACAUCCAAAGACUUUAGAAAUGAAUGAUAUAAAUGCAUGAAAUAUAUGAGUGAUCAAAUACCCCCAAACUUACAUUUUUGCUAGUCCUCUAGCAAAACAAAGAAAACAUGAAAAAGUAAUAACAUGAAAAAUAUUAGCUUCCCUCUAUGUGACCCUCAUAGAAUUUCAUUCAAGAAAACAAAUCAUCAAGAACCAUAGCUAGCAUCAAGGAACUAAUCCAAGUUCAUCUUCCUUAUUCAAAUAUUAGCAGUAAUCUUUGAAUCAUCCUUGAAGUGUAGUGUGUGAGAUAGCCAUGCUAAUGCAAUUUCAAAAUUUUUAUAUUUUUAAAAUCACCAUAUGCAAACUAGCAACCUUCUCACGGGAUAUACACUCAAUCACACAUGUGUUUAGUUUUAAUGUGUUUUCGCUCAAGAAUCAAAUGUGAAUUCAAAUGUGAAAGUUCUAAUAGAUCACUUAAAGAUGCACUUAUUCACAGUAAUAAUUGCAAAACUUAAAUCAAGAGGACUUUAUUUAAUUGGAUUCACAGUAAUAUUGCAAAUUAAAUCAAAGAGGAGAGGUACUUUAUUGGAUGUAAAGAAAGGUUAAGUAAGCCAAGCUACAUUAUUGCAAGCAAUAGAAUCUUUUUUGGUAAACACAAGUUUAUUUAGAACUUGCAAGCAAUUCUUUUGUUUCCAGCGAUUCUAUCUAAGAAUUCUUUUCCACAACCAACCUUUAACACCUUUUAACUGAAACUUUCUUGAAAAAAUUUUUAUUUUCUUUGUAUACAAUUUUUAUUUUUUUUCUUUUUUUUUUUUUUUUUUUUUUUAAAUAAACACAUAACUAAAUACAAACAUGAAAUACCCCCACACUUAUUCUUUUGCCAAACACCUUCAAAGUACUUCACAAACAUUUCUCAUAAGACAAUCUCACAUUGCUCACUAGCUUGCUUGGAAAGGGUAAGGAAAAAUGUUUCAGGUAUAAGGGUAGACAUAUCUGGUGAUAAGAAAUAAAAGGCUCAACAUACACGGCUCAAAUUGGCAAUCUAAUGAUAUCAUUUUUAUUUGGGAAAUAUGGUUAUUUGGGCCAUAGUGGUAAACCUAAUGCCUCUAUCAUUUCCAAGUUCAUGCAAUCAAUGACAAACAUUUCGAAAGAUGGUUACGCAAGUUCUAGAGAUGUAUCUCACAUAAGUUCAUCACACAUGAAAGAAUAGGAGUGUAUGAAAAAUGCACACACUUUCAAUCGGCUCAAAAACUCACAUAGGAUGUAUAUGGUCACUAAAUUCACAUAUGAAGCUUUAAGUCAUACUUUAGUUUCACAUUAACAAGGCUAUGUGCAUUUGGUUUUUCAAAGAUGGUCAAACAUGUACAAAACUAACAAGAGAAUUAGGAAUUUCACAAAACACAUGUUAACUAAGUUCUUGAUGAUCAUGGUUCAAAUUUGAUCCAAUUAUAUCAUUGGGUCGGGAAACUAACAAAAAUCUAAUUCAUAACAAUAAGGGAAACAAGACAAUAUUUUUGGAUUUUUUAAAUUUUCCGAUUUUUUUUUAAAUUUUUUUUUAAAAGAAAACAAAACUAAUUAAGAAAACAAAAAGCAACAACAUGGAAACAAAUGAAACUCGUUCGUAGUUGAAGGUACAAAAAAAUUUCAAAUUUGUCAUCAUUUUUAUACUCUUUACCCCCAAACUUAAACUGGACAUUGUCCCCAAUGUCAGAAAACACUAUAAUGCAAAUAAAAAAAUAAAAUAAAUAAUAAGAAAACAAAAUAAAGCAAUUGGACUGAAAACUUCCCUAGUUUGCAGUAAAACCAAGCGAUGACCCCCCAAGCUAAAAUUCUGCAAUCAACUUCAAGGGUGGAAAUAACCAAAAGUUCCUGCAAAGAAAAGAAAUAAUUCAGUUAAGUAAAGCAAGAAAAUGUAAAAAAAAAAAAAAAAAAAAAAAAAAAAAAAAAAAAAUUGCAAACGAAAAAUUGAAAAUCACGAUAAAAGACAAUGAAUAGAACUAAUAAGUGAUCAUUGGUCGUGCUUGUUGACUUUCCACAGCUUUCCUCUUGAACGGGGUGACACUUAGCUUUGUACUUGCAAGUGAUGAUUUGAUGAUAUUGUACAGCGAGGCUUUGCUCUUUAGCGAAGGUGCCCUCCAAAUGUUGUUGAAGCUUCUCGAGUUCUUGGAUUUAACUCGCACUCCUUUUGCUGAGUUCUUCUCUGCUUGAUUCUUCUAUAUGGCAGGCAGGCACAAGGUAGCUGUGUUGGUUUGAUUCUUUCUUCAAUCUUUCCAAGUGCCCACCUCUUGCUUUCUUUCUCCUUGUCCCUAGCUGAAGAUGAAUUGGCAAAUUGUCUCCACAUGCUUCGAGGUAUCAUUUUCACUUCCCUUACUUGUCCCCCAAGUAGAUGUGGUAGACAAAACGGAAGCAUAAGAUGAUGAAGAUGAGUACUCGAGAGCAAGGUUAGGUAAGCAAUCAGGAAGGGGUUCCAGGCAGUUGGCUCCAGAUCGGAAGAUUUAUACCAAGUGCUGGCUGAUUGCUUGCUUUCUCCUUGUCGUAAAACAAAGACAAAGAGAAGGACAGGGAGAAAGCAUGAUAUGAGAUACUCUUGCUUUCAACCUUCAUGAUAUGAAAUACUUUUGCUUUGGAUGGGUUGUUUGCAGAGGUACCCCAAGGAAUAAGGAACACUGAGUGACUCGAGAGGGUGUGUUGGAAAUACAUUCUCGGAGAUGAAGAAGUGCUGAGAGGGUGUGCCUUUGCUGUGGAAGGCGAAGGUAGAUACUUAUAGGACUUUUCUUCACAACCGGAACUAUUCCCUCACUCAUUGUUGGCAGCCGGUGGAUGGAUGAAUAGUACAAAUUACGCGCUUUCUGACAAAGCUGCCCGUAAAUUCCGCAAAGCUGCCAGUUGCAUGUGACGAGUGACGACACGUCUGGACAAAUUGAUCUUUUGAAAUCCGAGGUUCGGCUCGUGGUUUCUGAGCAAGCCCAACUUUUAAGAAAUGAAACGCCUCUUUUGAGAAAAGAAUCCGACUUUUGAGAAAUGAGCCCCGACUCUUCGAUUUGCGAGAGGACGCCUCUUCGAUUUCUGAGGAGCGCCUCUUUGAUUUCUUCUUUUUAUAGAGGCGUUAAUUUUGUUCCACAACACACUUGAGCUCCCUCCUGUAAACACUCCCUUCUUGCACUUCCAAAAUCUUAAUCUGUCCGAUCUCUUCUUUCUUUACCAUUCUGAAAAAUGUCUGGCCCUUCCGAUCGUCGUUUUGACUUGAACAUUGGUGAAGAGGCAGCUCCGCCUUCACCAGACAACAUAUGGCGCCCAUCUUUCAUAUCCCCUACUGGUCCCCUUACCGUUGGGGAUUCGGUGAUGAAAAAUGACAUGACCGCUGCGGUGGUGGCCCGGAACCUUGUCACCCCCAGAGAUAACAGACUGCUCGCUAGACGAUCUGAUGAAUUGGCGGUUAAGGAGUCUCUGGCUCUUAGCAUGCAGUGUGCGGGUUCUGUGUCCAACAUGGCCCAACGCCUAUUUGCUCGAACCCGUCACGUUGAAUCGUUGGUGGCUGAAAUACAGAGUCUCAAAGAGGAGAUUAGAGGACUCAAGCAUGAAAAUAAACAAUUGCACAAGCUUGCACACAAUUAUGCCACAAACAUGAAGAAGAAAAUUGACCAGCUGCAGGAAACUGAUGGUCAGAUUUUACUUGAUCACCGGAGGUUUGUGGGUUUGUUCCAACCGCAUCUGCCUUCGUCUUUUGGGGCGGCACCGUGUAGUGAAGCUCCAAAGAAUCAACCUCUGUUGCCUCCUCCUUUUGUGGCCCCGUCGACUGCUGAAGCUCCGCCGACUGCUGAAGCACCACCUGACCAAUGAAUGCUAUUAGUUUACACAUCAUUGUAAAAUAUUUUUACUUUUAUGUUUUUUUUUUUUUUUUUUUUUUUUUUUUUUUUUUUUUUGAAUAUGUAAAUUAAUGUAAAAAGACUUUGUUUAACCUUCCCCCACACUUAAGCUAAAUAACACAAACUCACAGAAAUCAACCAAAUAACACAACUAACUAAACAAAACAAAAUGAAAGCAGUAAAGAUAAGGGUGUAAGUUGAAUGCUUGGGUUGCCUCCCAAGAAGCGCUUGCUUUAACGUCCGCAGUCGGACGAAUCUUUCCUUUAAACUCCCCUCGGCUCCAAAGCAUGGAAUUUAUCUUUUAAUGGGAGGUGAUACUUGAAAUGAUUCGGCAAUGGUUUAAAUUCAAGAGUGGGUGCCUGAAUCAUCAAAAUCAGAAACAUGUUAGUAUAAAUUAAAAUUAAAAUUGGAGAAGAUGGCUUACUUUCUUUUUCCGACACAAACUCAAUGACAAACACCACAUCUUUGAACAUUUCCGGGACUUUGAACUUGGCCAAGUUUACUAUGAUGGUUGUGGCUUGUCCCGUGUUAUCAAACUCAACUGCUUUGGGCUUGAUUGUCUCAUGCACAGCCUCUUGGAUGUAUUCUUGAUAUGCUUCAACCACUUCAUUUUCUUGAAUCCCUUUUCUUGGUGUGCAAGGUUCUUUGAACGUUUCAAUACCAUCGGGAACUUGUUUUGGUGCACCAAGAAUUGGGAUAUCACUUUGCACCUUUGGAAGAGCUUCCACAAUGUCUUUUUCACUCUCUUUGAUAUUUGUAAUCAAAAACCUGCAAGGAAAAAGGACAUUUGUUGGAAUAAUGUUAGAAUGAAGUGAAUUUAGAACUUCCUCACCUGAGUUGGAUGACAUAGGGAUUUGAGGAGCUUGCAGCAAGAAUUCUUCUAAACUGCCCAGGUCGUCCCCCUCCUCUUCUGCUUGCAGCAGCAAUUCAUCCAUGUUCGGGCUGUGUUUGGAUGGUUCUGGGACAGCUUCAUCCUUCAUGUCACCUUCCAAAGUGAUGGCUUCAUCGAUUUCAACUUUUGCUUUUGAAUUUGCAAUGUUUGAGUUGGAAAGUUCACUUUGAUCUUGAAUAUGUGCCAAGAAUUCCACAAUAUGCCCAACUUGCAUAUCCAAUUCGUCCACUCUUUUGACUCGGUCUUGCAUCUCCUGGUUUUGAUUUUCUACUCCCUGUUUCAAAGAGGUGAGUAACUUAUUAAGUGUAUCAUUAUCCAAGGACGUACCUGAAUUGAAUUGGGUUGAUUGUUGUGGUGGCUGUGACGGUUCAUAUGGCCACUGAUAGAACUCUUCCGAUGGCGGCAAUUGUUCUUCUUUUUGUGAACCCUGCGUCAAAGAAAUUAGUCCUUCAAGAAUUUCAUUAUAAUUCACGGGCAUACUUUGAUUUGAUUGGAAUUGUUGUGAGGGAUGCUGUGGUGGCUGCAUAGGUCUUGAAUAGAACUCGUCUUGCUGCCAAUAUCCACCUUGUUGAAAUUGUUGAGGUUCAUCCCACAUAUAAUCUGAAUUACCUCUCCAAUCUGAAUUGCAAGCUUUGGAAAACAUGUUGCCCCUUGAUUGGUUAUGGCCUUGAUAUCCCCAAACAUCUUCAUUUGCAGAAAAUUGAGGACUUUGAUAUCCUUGCCCAUAGGGCACAUCAAGUGUAGGGACACUUGGCAUUGUGGUCCGUUCGGCAUUAUGAGUCAAUUGAGCAGUGAGCUGUGCCAAUUGAGCUUGAAUGGUCGCAAGUGCCAUGUCUUGCUCCAUUUGUACCUAAAAUCAAAGAAAGAAAAAUAAAUCAAAUAUCAAAAGUAAAAUACACAAACACCAAUAUAAACAUAAACAAAAACAAAAAUAAAGGGAUUAGCAAAGUUGCUAAUCCCCGGCAACGGCGCCAAAAAUUUGGUGCGAAAUAUAUAAGCACACAAAUUUAACCCUCUUUUUGACAAUUGUAGUAUAGAUGUAAGUAGGGUAUCGUUCUAGGCCGGGGAUUAGGAGGGAUUGCUAAUCUAUUCUAAAUUAAUUUAAAAAUAUUAAACAAGACUCAAGGACACAAAACUAGGCUAAAAACUCUAAUAACUCGAAACACACUUAGAAUGACUCAAAAUAAUGAAAACAAUCAAAUUAGACACUAGGAACUGAAAUGGACGGAAAUUGAAUUAAAAGAUUAACAACAAUGAAAACUAACUAAAUAAUAUAAUUUAAUAAUGGGGGGGGGUUUGGUUUUGACGAGAAGUAAAUUAAACUUAAAUAAAUUACAAAAUUGACAAAAACAUGAAAUUAAGGUGAAAGGAUAGGUGAUGGACUAGCUAGAGGGUUCUUCUCCACACAUGACACAUAUGCAACCUAAAUUGAUUUUCAGUUGUUCUUUCAAUAAAUUGUAAAUCUCAAUACUUCAGAUUAACCGUGAACAACACUUUUUUAAUCUUCAAGUUUUCCUUAAGUUAUUGAAUUGGACGGAAAAACGCAUACAACAAUUCAAAACAUUCUUCAAAAGUCCCCUACGUGAAAAGCACAAUAGAGAUACAAUCAAAGAUCAUUAAACUUUGUGAAAACUAUAAGCAUUGACGAGGCAUUCGUAACUAUGAAAAGCAUGAUACUCUUGCCAAGAAUUCACUUAACACGAUUGUGGAUAACAACCUUCACUACUCAUAAGUUCAUAACAAACGAUUAGGUGAAAUUCACUUAUAUUCUAGCAUCAAAUUCAUGCAUGUAAAUUAAGUAUGCAUUCUUAAUCGACAUACAAAAAUAAGUUAUCAAUCAAGCAGUUAAGCAAAUUAAAUCACAACUCAGAAAUCACAACUGAAGGUAAUCAAUUCAUAUUACAAAUAUAUUCAUGGCUUUGAAUUAACCUCUAGCCAAAAUAAAUUUAGUUACACAUUAUUAAAACAGAAAUAAAAUAUAAGUUUGGAAAGAUUUAACCGAAAGAGGAGAGUGCUUCAGUGCUCUGUCUGCCCAGCGCCCUCUGUUUUCUGUGCGCACUGCUAAUCUCCCCCGAGGCUCACGCCUCCUCUGAUUGGAUACACGCUACAAGGCAGCUUUUGAAUUCCUCUCCUUUCUUUCUCGCUGCCUAAGGCAGCUUGGUGCCUUUUGUUUUUCUCUGUGCCAAGGCUUCACGCUGCGCAAGGUAGCUCUUCUUCUCCUCGUCCUUUCUCUUCUUCUUCUUUCCUUUUUUUAUUCCUUUUUCGCUGGCAGCUUUGCUGCUUCUUUUCCGUCCAUUAGCUUCUUCUUUCUUUCCUCCACCAUUCCUUUCUUUAUGUUUCUUUUUUUUUUUUCAUCAUUCCAUGUCUCCCACUUAUUUAUUUUCUUAUUCUUCUUUCUCCGCACAGUCCGCAAGUCUCUCCCCUUCCUCUUUUAUUAUUCAAUUUCUUGAUAGUCCACUCCCUUCCUUUGUUUAAUGCCGUGUUGCACUCUGUCUUUUCUCUAUUCUUUUCUGCGUUUGAAAUUAAUCCUACAACAAAAUUAACUGUACAUUAACACAAAGUAAGGUAAAAUGUCACAAUUUUAACACAAAAACAUCCAAAGACUUUAGAAAUGAAUGAUAUAAAUGCAUGAAAUAUAUGAGUGAUCAGAAACGACACUUAUUCCCACUCUCUUCAGCUUUGUCAAGCUGGUUUCCACCGUUCGUACACUUUCUUUUGGUCAAGCAUCUCUCUCCGACAUGGGGAGCGAAAGAAGCCAUAGCACACAUAAUGACACCCCCCUUGGACCUAGUAUGAAGCAACGAAAGCAGGAAGGAAAUAGAGUUACUCUUCAAGCUAAAGUCGAUGAGCUAGAGGUUCAGAACAACAAGAUAACGAUGAAGAAUGAGGUCCUCCAGGAACAAUAUGAAAAACUUUUCGAGAUGCUUCACGAGGCUAGGCAUGCUCAAGCACACAAGCUCGUCGCCCCUGUUGAGGUCAACAAUCAUCUGAAUGCCCCCCAACACGGAGGGUCACCGAUAUCCAACACGGACAUCCCUGAUAGAGAUCGAGCUACACAUCAAUGUGAUAAUCAACAUGAGACUUCUCUCAACCCAGCUGCUUCAACCCGAAGCAGAAGAAGUAGAGGAAAGCACCUCCUCACAGAGGGAGUGGAAGGAUCAAAAGCCAUCUAUUGCGAUUGUCGAGACUUCCUAAAGCAACGUCGAGAGAAUCUCAUCCACAUAAGCUCGAAGAUCAAUGACCCAAGAGUUUCUGAAAGACUCGGUCCUCUUCCACGACUUAGGCCAGCGGCCAAUCUAGAGAAUGGGCAACAAGUCCCAGAAGAACAUGAAGGUACAGGGGACUCGGAAAUAUUUCAACAUACUCACUCUAGGAGUCAAUGUGGCGAGUCCAAGGAAAAAUCACGCUAUCUUGAUCAAACUUUCCUACUUCCAAGAGGUGAUAGGGACUUACGGAAGAAAACUUCAGUGGUGCACGACUCCACUUAGGACCCCCUUGUCCUACAGCUCCUGGAGGAAGUAAACAAGUUGAAGGCUGAACGUCAAGCCGAGAUACCUGACUGGAACCAACCCAGGCAUGGCCCCCUCACAAGAAGGAUCCUCAACACCCCCCUCAAAGCAAAGACAAAGCAGAAGCUUGGCUUACAACUUUAUACUGGAAAGGAAGACCCGAUUGAACACCUUAACCUCUUUGAGUCCACCAUGGUAUACCGGAGACACACCGA
RNAcentral lists this long non-coding RNA (9201 nucleotides) under Malus domestica (apple). RNAcentral's name for it is "long non-coding RNA (MDOM_LNC020698)". Lineage: Eukaryota; Viridiplantae; Streptophyta; Magnoliopsida; Rosales; Rosaceae. The record is from RNAcentral.